Long non-coding RNA from Pseudophryne corroboree (corroboree frog), 1157 nucleotides. RefSeq lists it as uncharacterized. The record is from RefSeq and is a predicted model, not a curated record. Lineage: Eukaryota; Metazoa; Chordata; Amphibia; Anura; Myobatrachidae. The transcript is spliced from 4 exons.
CGGGAAUCGUCUCUGACGCUGCACCGAGGAGCCUGAGCCAGCGGAGAGGGCAUCUUCUCGAUCACGUGAUAUCCUACAUGAAAAGUGAUUACCGAAUGAAGACUCUGUCUUCCCAGGGAGGAUACAUUUCUUCAGAGGUUCCCCAAUGUGAGAAACCAUAAUAUAGAUCAGGUGAAUCCUGCAUCCGGACCGAGUCUGGAACGGCACAAAGGGCACCCGGUGACGCUGCAGUAUCCGUGGAGCAUCCAUCUUAGGAAGGAAUUUGCAGCAAGAUUCCAAGACUUUGCAGAGAUAGGGAAACUGUCACAUUUUAUAAAAACUCCUUAUGAAGUUUCUCCAGCGGGAGAAUGGACUGAUGUAGCUGAGAAGUUGUUCGGAAUUUCAAAACCUACGCUUCAAAUGGAGAUAAUCGACAUGCAAGAAGAUGCUUCCUUGAAAGUGUACAAAACUGCAUCCACUGAAGAUUUUUGGGCUAAGCAUGUUUUGGACAAGUACGCAAAUUGUAAAAAACUGGCUAUCAACAUAGCCACCAUGUUUGGCUCCACAUACAUAUGUGAGACCUCUUUUGCCAAGAUGAAUUUUCUGAAAAAUAGACAUCGAUCAAGGUUAACAGAUGCCCACCUUGAAGACACUCUGCGUAUUAGUUGUUCUCCAAGAGUUCCAAACUUUAAAAAACUGUCUCAGGAUGGGAAGUGCAAUUUCUCGCAGUAAGGGAGUGAUUCAGGUUGGUUUGCAAAAGCAAACUCCUUCUUUAAUGUACAAAAACAUGUGCACUGCAGGUGGGACUGAUGUAAAAUGUGCAGAGAAAGUUACAUUUGGGUGGGGUGUGUUCAAACUGACUGAAACCUAAAUUGCAGUGUAAAAAUAAAGCAGCCAGUAUUUACCCUGCACAGAAACAAAAUAACCCAUCUAAAUCUAACUCUCUCUGCAAAUGUUAUAUCUGCCACACCUGCAGUGCACAUGGUUUUGCACAACUGCUAACAAUGCUGCUGCGUUCAACUCUGAAUUAUCCCCAUGGUUUUGUUCAUUAAAGAAGGAGUUUGCUUUUGCAAACCAACCUGAAUCACUGCCUAAGAGUAACAUAAAGACUCGUAAUGUCUAGUAAAGUUUUAUUUAAGGCUUAAAAUUCCUUUUAAGGAAUGUAGUAUAUUACUUGU